GGGUAACCUGCCUGUAAGACUGGGAUAACUCCGGGAAACCGGGGCUAAUACCGGAUGCUUGUUUGAACCGCAUGGUUCAAACAUAAAAGGUGGCUUCGGCUACCACUUACAGAUGGACCCGCGGCGCAUUAGCUAGUUGGUGAGGUAAUGGCUCACCAAGGCAACGAUGCGUAGCCGACCUGAGAGGGUGAUCGGCCACACUGGGACUGAGACACGGCCCAGACUCCUACGGGAGGCAGCAGUAGGGAAUCUUCCGCAAUGGACGAAAGUCUGACGGAGCAACGCCGCGUGAGUGAUGAAGGUUUUCGGAUCGUAAAGCUCUGUUGUUAGGGAAGAACAAGUGCCGUUCAAAUAGGGCGGCACCUUGACGGUACCUAACCAGAAAGCCACGGCUAACUACGUGCCAGCAGCCGCGGUAAUACGUAGGUGGCAAGCGUUGUCCGGAAUUAUUGGGCGUAAAGGGCUCGCAGGCGGUUUCUUAAGUCUGAUGUGAAAGCCCCCGGCUCAACCGGGGGAGGGUCAUUGGAAACUGGGGAACUUGAGUGCAGAAGAGGAGAGUGGAAUUCCACGUGUAGCGGUGAAAUGCGUAGAGAUGUGGAGGAACACCAGUGGCGAAGGG
This 619-nucleotide ribosomal RNA is filed under the name Bacillus atrophaeus. Its description in RNAcentral is "bacterial SSU rRNA". It matches the Rfam family "Bacterial small subunit ribosomal RNA", at positions 119 to 722 of the family's 1533-position model. The record is from RNAcentral. Lineage: Bacteria; Bacillati; Bacillota; Bacilli; Caryophanales; Bacillaceae.